This 460-nucleotide ribosomal RNA is filed under the name uncultured bacterium. Its description in RNAcentral is "partial 16S ribosomal RNA". It matches the Rfam family "Bacterial small subunit ribosomal RNA", at positions 338 to 795 of the family's 1533-position model. The record is from RNAcentral.
CCUACGGGUGGCAGCAGUGAGGAAUAUUGGUCAAUGGGCGGAAGCCUGAACCAGCCAAGUCGCGUGAGGGAUUAAGGCCCUGCGGGUCGUAAACCUCUUUUGCCGGGGAGCAGUGGUCCGGACGUGUCCGGGCCGGGAGAGUACCCGGAGAAAAAGCAUCGGCUAACUCCGUGCCAGCAGCCGCGGUAAUACGGAGGACGCGAGCGUUAUCCGGAUUUAUUGGGUUAAAAGGGUGCGUAGGCGGGCGUUAAAGCCGGCGGUCAAAUGUCGGGGCUCAACCCCGGCCUGCCGUCGGAACUGGGUGCCUUGAGUGGAGGAGAAGUAUGCGGAAUGCGUGGUGUAGCGGUGAAAUGCAUAGAUAUCACGCAGAACCCCGAUUGCGAAGGCAGCAUACCGGCGCCCUACUGACGCUGAGGCACGAAAGUGCGGGUAUCGAACAGGAUUAGAUACCCCUGUAGUC